This 63-nucleotide transfer RNA is filed under the name Stenus clavicornis. RNAcentral describes it as "tRNA-Phe". The record is from RNAcentral. Lineage: Eukaryota; Metazoa; Arthropoda; Insecta; Coleoptera; Staphylinidae.
AUUUAAAUAGCUUAAUUAGAGCAUAAUAUUGAAGAUAUUAAGGUAAUAUUAUAUUUUUAAAUA